RNAcentral lists this ribosomal RNA (253 nucleotides) under uncultured bacterium. Its description in RNAcentral is "partial 16S ribosomal RNA". It matches the Rfam family "Bacterial small subunit ribosomal RNA", at positions 524 to 776 of the family's 1533-position model. The record is from RNAcentral.
UACGUGGGCAGCGAGCGUUGUUCGGAAUUACUGGGCGUAAAGAGUGUGUAGGCGGUGCUCUAAGUUCGGUGUGAAAUCUCCCGGCUUAACUGGGAGGGUGCGCCGGAAACUGGAGUGCUCGAGCGUGGGAGAGGAAAGCGGAAUUCCUGGUGUAGCGGUGAAAUGCGUAGAUAUCAGGAGGAACACCUGCGGUGUAGACGGCUUUCUGGACCAUUGCUGACGCUGAGACCCGAAAUCGUGGGUAGCAAACAGG